This 330-nucleotide long non-coding RNA is filed under the name Vigna radiata. RNAcentral describes it as "long non-coding RNA (VRAD_LNC000330)". Lineage: Eukaryota; Viridiplantae; Streptophyta; Magnoliopsida; Fabales; Fabaceae. The record is from RNAcentral.
AAAAAACACCACAAGGUAUUUCUUUUUUAUGUUUCUUCAAUAAGAAUUUGUAAAUGAAAUUCAAAUCUUUGAUUCNCUUACCCAAGUAUUUAAAACAAUUACUAUUAUCCAUUGUAUGCUUUAAGUUUAUACCAUCACCCUCUGAACUCAACCCUAAUCCAUAACAAAAUUCCUUUUCGUUCAUGUUCACAACUUUAUCUCCAAUUACAAAANCGAAACUCGAAUCCACCCAUUUAAACGUUAACUCCCGCAAAAUUUGACUAUUCAUUGUGACUUUACCACUCAAUUGUAAAAACCAACCAAAAGGAGUCUUCGAAAUAAGUGACCGUU